GUAAUUUCUACAGCAAAAUUUUACAGUUACUUCUUGUUCUGUCAUUUUACAAAGUUUAGCUGUACAUUGCAAUGCAUUGUGGGUCAAAAAACUAUUACAGAAGUUGACAGCUUUUCCCCCAAAAUAAAUUACAGGUAUAUUUGCGCUUGCCUGUAAAUGAUGCAGUAUUACAGUUAUUCACUGUUGAAUGCGUUGCACGAGGCAGCUUGACGCCAUUUUAUGUCGGAUUGCAGAGGAGCAGGGACAUUGCCACGCCACUCAUCCACAAUAUGUGUUGGCAACAGCAACAGACGUUGAAAAAAGACUACAGUUUCCUGACUCUAAUUGUCUUAGGCGAAUCAGCGUUUGGAUGCUGAGCAUCGGGUGGUUGUGCCUCCACAUCCCAACUUCGUGGCUGGAAUGGCAGCUUUGUUUUAAGGCUACCACAACUUCAAUCUUGUGUAACAGGUAACUAUGUGCUUGAAGUACAAUGCAGUUUAUCAUUAUUUUGUAAAGUGUGCUAUUAUGAGUAACAGAGAUUUUAUUUUGCUUUAAGUGUGCUUACAGGAAAUCCCUUUAACAUGAUUUUUUUAGUUGAUAAAUUGGGUUAAGUUAUUUACCCAAAUGCUUUAUAUCAUUGCAGAACGAAUUCAUUGUAACAUUCAAACAUUGACAAUAAAGAUUUAUUUGAUUAUAUAUUUUGAAAAGUAGUUCUGCAUUGGGGUAACUGAGCAUUUAGGUAAAUAAACUGCAAACUUGCUUUGUUUUUUUUUAUGGCAUUCACAAGAAAUCCCAGAUGAACAUUAAUUUUACAGUUAUGCAUAAUUUCAUAUGCCCACCCAGCCCUCACCCUCCCCACUAUGGCAGUGAUGCUCAAGGCAAACACACAAAAAAGGAUCUGUAUGCAUAUACUGUAUACACACACCCACAUAUAUAUACUGAUACAUAAACAUAUCUUACAAAUCUACCUAGAUGUUUUUUAACAAAAAAAAGAGAUUUGCAUGAUCUUUGACAAUCAGUCAUUUAUUCAUGGUUUUAUUGGGGUAUGAAUGAGACUUUGUUAUGAAAACCAUAGGAUUCGGAGUCAUAGGAUUAGUUCUUUUGGAGUUUUUUCACAAGGCUGUAGGCCUACAUGUUAUCAACUGUAGUGAUGUAGUUGCAUGGACAUAGCCCUGUACUAUGAGUCCUUUAAUUGUAGAUCUUUGGAUGGACCAGCCCAACAACAGCAAACUUAGACAACCAAAGAACAUUUUACCAAAGACAUGUCUUGUGUUCCUCAACAGAAUACAUUUAUUUUCCUGCUUUAGGGUGCCCUCUGACCACUCCCUACAUUGGAACAAUUUUGUUCAUUACAGACUGACAGUAUAACUACGUAGUGGAGCCUCGCAUCUACGUAUCUAGAAUGUUUUUCAAGUCUGAAAGCACUAUAAAGUCGC
Misgurnus anguillicaudatus (oriental weatherfish) is the source of this 1415-nucleotide non-coding RNA. The record is from RefSeq and is a predicted model, not a curated record. Lineage: Eukaryota; Metazoa; Chordata; Actinopteri; Cypriniformes; Cobitidae.